GAAUGCUGACAUAAGUAACGAUAAAGCGGGUGAAAAGCCCGCUCGCCGGAAGACCAAGGGUUCCUGUCCAACGUUAAUCGGGGCAGGGUGAGUCGACCCCUAAGGCGAGGCCGAAAGGCGUAGUCGAUGGGAAACGGGUUAAUAUUCCCGUACUUGGUGUUACUGCGAAGGGGGGACGGAGAAGGCUAUGUUGGCCGGGCGACGGUUGUCCCGGUUUAAGCGUGUAGGUGUGUGUUCCAGGUAAAUCCGGUUCACUUUAACACUGAGGCGUGAUGACGAGGCACUACGGUGCUGAAGUAACAAAUGCCCUGCUUCCAGGAAAAGCCUCUAAGCAUCAGGUAACAUCAAAUCGUACCCCAAACCGACACAGGUGGUCAGGUAGAGAAUACCAAGGCGCUUGAGAGAACUCGGGUGAAGGAACUAGGCAAAAUGGUGCCGUAACUUCGGGAGAAGGCACGCUGACACGUAGGUGAAGUGAUUUACUCAUGGAGCUGAAGUCAGUCGAAGAUACCAGCUGGCUGCAACUGUUUA
Molecule: ribosomal RNA, 531 nt
Filed under: Salmonella enterica subsp. enterica serovar Dublin
Lineage: Bacteria; Pseudomonadati; Pseudomonadota; Gammaproteobacteria; Enterobacterales; Enterobacteriaceae
Description: partial 23S ribosomal RNA
Rfam family: Bacterial large subunit ribosomal RNA
Source: RNAcentral